UUUAGUGGUAAAACUACAGCCUUCCAAGCUGUUGUCGUGGGUUCGAUUCCCAUCACCC
RNAcentral lists this transfer RNA (58 nucleotides) under Listeria monocytogenes. Its description in RNAcentral is "tRNA-Gly". It matches the Rfam family "tRNA", at positions 11 to 65 of the family's 71-position model. From Rfam's summary of the family: Transfer RNA (tRNA) molecules are approximately 80 nucleotides in length. Their secondary structure includes four short double-helical elements and three loops (D, anti-codon, and T loops). The record is from RNAcentral. Lineage: Bacteria; Bacillati; Bacillota; Bacilli; Caryophanales; Listeriaceae.